UGCCUGACCACCACUUCCCUGACGACCAUCACUGCGAACACGCGACAUGGAUUUAAGAAUGAACAACCAACCUUAUUUCUCCAAUCGCUGAACUUACCGGAGAAUAUCAAUUUGAGGGCCGAGAACAGAUCAGGUAUACUAGAGAAGCUCUGCUUCAGCUGAGGAAGCUUGCAAAGGAAACUGUUUGCGAUUUCAUUCUCGGAACCUGAUCAUUGCUACAUGCAUCAAUUAAUAUGACGAUAGCGCCAUUGUUAGGUUGAUUCCUACUUAUGAAUUGU
This is a long non-coding RNA of Andrographis paniculata, 278 nucleotides long. RefSeq lists it as uncharacterized. Lineage: Eukaryota; Viridiplantae; Streptophyta; Magnoliopsida; Lamiales; Acanthaceae. The record is from RefSeq and is a predicted model, not a curated record. The transcript has 3 exons.